CCUACGGGUGGCUGCAGUGGGGAAUAUUGGACAAUGGGCGAAAGCCUGAUCCAGCCAUGCCGCGUGUGUGAAGAAGGCCUUCGGGUUGUAAAGCACUUUCAGUGGGGAAGAAAGCCUUGGGGCUAAUACCCUCGAGGAAGGACAUCACCCACAGAAGAAGCACCGGCUAACUCCGUGCCAGUAGCCGCGGUAAUACGGAGGGUGCGAGCGUUAAUCGGAAUUACUGGGCGUAAAGCGCGCGUAGGCGGUCUGAUAAGCCGGUUGUGAAAGCCCCGGGCUCAACCUGGGAACGGCAUCCGGAACUGUCAGGCUAGAGUGCAGGAGAGGAAGGUAGAAUUCCCGGUGUAGCGGUGAAAUGCGUAGAGAUCGGGAGGAAUACCAGUGGCGAAGGCGGCCUUCUGGACUGACACUGACGCUGAGGUGCGAAAGCGUGGGUAGCAAACAGGAUUAGAUACCCCGGUAGUC
RNAcentral lists this ribosomal RNA (465 nucleotides) under Vreelandella stevensii. RNAcentral's name for it is "partial 16S ribosomal RNA". It matches the Rfam family "Bacterial small subunit ribosomal RNA", at positions 338 to 795 of the family's 1533-position model. The record is from RNAcentral. Lineage: Bacteria; Pseudomonadati; Pseudomonadota; Gammaproteobacteria; Oceanospirillales; Halomonadaceae.